UGCUCUCCGAUGCUUUUCUGUGCUUGAAGAGGUCCUUGUGUCCAGUUUCACACAUCACAGCCCCUCACACGACGGAGGAGCAGUGCUGGUGUCUGUGAUUUGCAGCACCGGGACUUGAUUUCUCCAGAUGCUCGGAAGAGCCCAGCCCCGGGGGACAGCCGGCCGCUGUGGCGCUGAGCACUUCCUGUGGCGACAGUGCCUCCACCCGAACUCCGGGCCUGCGUGGAAGGUCCGAGCUGCCACCCCUCCCCACACCACGUCCUGCCGGGACAGCGGUGGGGCCUCCUGGCAGGCUGUGUCCAGCGUCCUGACACGUGGUAAGGGCUCCCAGUCAGGUGUGAACCGCGCAUGGGCUGCGUCCAUCCCGCUGCUGAUGGGCAGCGGGCCGCUUCCAAGGGUUAGCUGCUGCGAGCUGAGCCCCCGUGAACAUGGUGUGCUCGGUCACCGGGACGACUGCCUCUUUCGGGAAGACACCUGGAACUGCUCUGCCGUGCAGAAGGAUGCACCCGAGUCAUCUGUAGGAAAACGGAUGCACCUCGAGACCAUCCUGUGAAGUGAAAUAUGUCAGACACACAAGCUUCAAUAUCCCAGGUUCUCUUGUAUGAGCAGCCCAAAGUAUAAAUAAUGUAAAGAGCAGAAGAAAAGUAGCUAACAGGAAACGGGUUUAGACCUUAUGCCAAAGGAAAUGGGACGGAGAGACGGAGCGAGGGCGGGGAGCGGAGGGUUGAAGACGUGCUGUGCACAAGCGCCGGCCCGCGCUGGCGAUGAGGGAUCGCCGUGAACCCCGAACGGAAACAAGCCCCGCUGCAGCCCCCGUAGUACUGCGGACACUUCCGCCCUGCCUACCCUGCUCCCCAGCAGGCUUCCUGCAGCCAAAGCUCGGCCCAGCGUCUGUUUCCCGGGGACCGCAGUGCAAGACAACCUGCAGGCUGGCUGGAUUUCCAUGUCUAAUUACGCUCACCUGCACUGGGCCGGGCAGCGCUGCGAGGCCACUUUGUUCCCUUUUUGCACCAGACCUCCGCGGGGAGUUAUCCUGCCACUCCUCAGCUUCCCAGCUCUGGGCAGUGCUCAGCGGUGUCAUUUUUCUAUUAUUGCCUCUCGACAGCGCCGAUCCGGAGGCUCCUUGAAGCUUGGGUGUUGGCCUUGGGCGCGCAUGGGGAGCUGUCGGGCGGUCUGUCGGGGUUGCGGAGUGUGGGAGCCUGCUGUUCCCGAAGCCGGCGCUUAACCGGACUUGGAGCACUACAGGUGGAGAGAUAACGUGCCGAGCAGGCCUUCCCAGCCUCAGUAGAAGCCACCGGAGAGGCCCGGCAGCCCUGUCCAAGGCUGGCUCCUAACUCCGCCUUCACUCAGCUUCCCCUGCGUAGUUUAAGUCUUGGUUCCUGUCUUUGUGAAAUCUUCUCAGCCAGUAGAAUCGUUCUGGGACUCGGCUGACACGCUUAUGUUUUCACAAGUUCCACAUAUGCAUAGUUACAUCGGUUAAUAACGUCCACUCAUCAGUGCAGAAAUGUAUUUCAGGAAUACCAGCUAGACAUUCUAUUUCUUAACCUCAAAUACACAGUAGCAGAUAACGACCCUCUGGGAUGCAUGGCCGACUGCCCGCGUCUCACACAUCCCUGGGUGAGACCCGGUUCCAGCCCCGGUCUGCCCCUCCGGGUUCCCUUGGCCUCUGCUGAGCCCCUAAGGAUGCGGGUCAGAGUCUGUUCUGCUCUGCUCCACACUGUCCACUGGUUCCGCACCUGUCUGGUUUCCCAGUGACUGACCCCUCGUCCCCAGCUGCUUCAGCCACAUCGGCGCCCUCUGUUCCAGCCCCAUCCUGUACCCCGGGGGCCCCCUCCCAGCUCUCUGCUCGGCUCCUGCUUUCCUCUGAUCUUCGCCCGGUGGUUCCUCUCUUUAGUUUAUCCCUCCUCCCCUCUCAUAUGGCGACCACUACUCCCGCCCCACUCCUGACCCCAAGCCCUGCCCCUGCCUGCUCUGCUCUCUCUCACAUAGCACCUACCACCUUCCUCUGUACUCAGAGUAUUUACCCGGAAGCCAGUGGAGGUUAAGCCUAGGGCUUCUUCCUGCUUAGGUCCCUCAACCCUCACAUGGGUGUUUCUGUAGCAUAUUUCCACCAAGAGAGGUUGAGCCCAUUAUCUCUUUCCAUCCCAAUUUCCUAUCUUUUACACCUCCCUUGCACCUCAUGGUAUAGAAGUAGCUGUGAGCAUUUCUGAGGUAUGGCUAGGGAGAUGGAGUUCAAGUGUGUUAGCCAGCUUUCUGUCACUGUCACAAAAUGCCUGUGACAGUUAACUUACAAAGAGAGAAGGGUGUUUCAGUUCACAGUUCUGGAAGUCCCUUCCCUGGCCGACUGGCCCGUAGGUUCUGUGCUGCUUAUUUAGUGUCUGUCCCUUCCCCUUGCCCACAGAGGGUGGGCACCCCAAGAGCAGAAGGCCGAGUUCACAGAUGUGUCUCACACACUGCAUAGGUAGACACUCAGUGCACAUCGGGUGAGUGAAUGGAUUAAGUGACAUUACCCCCAACAGUUGAGGUUGAUCUACUUUGGUCUUGCUCACGAAAGGCUAGUAUGAAUGUAUUGGAACUGAAAAGUAAAAGUAAUGCCAAGGGGAGAGUGGGAAUGCUGUGGAGCGUGAACAACACUUCCUCUUAAAUCCCUGGGCUCAGGAUGCUGAUGCUCCUAUUCCUGGUGUCUCUUCAGUGCUCACUAGCUGCCAUGUUUCAUGAGGACCUGGACCAUUCAUGUCAGGCUGUGCAGUUUCUUCCUUCCACAUUGACCAGGUAGCAUCACACUACUCCAGGGCGAGGGUUUCAUUCUGAAGCAGGAGGCUGCUCAGAGAGCUGACACAGGAGCUGGUUUUUCUUGGGCCAUAGAUGAGGCAGCAGUAGGAUGAAGGUGGACUCUUUUUCACUUCCUAUAUUUAGUCAAUCGUAGAAAUGCUGUUCAGAGAGCUGUCUUUGUUUGAGCACUAGACAUUAGAUGUUAGAGUCCUCAUGGCAGGAGGGACAUGUACACAUAUUAAUUUAAAAUGGACAUGUGGACAUGUUUCCAUAAAGCUUAGAAGCUCGAGGCAAGCCUUAAGAAAAGCAGAAUCCCACAGAAUCUGGAUACUUUAGUUUUGGACAGUUUUAUUUUUGUGGACAGAUAGCAGAAACAGUGCACAAACGGCUAGUGGAUGGCAGGCUUUCCCCAUGUAAACACCUACACUUUGCUUAACCAUUAAAACACCUUUUAAAAAAUGUCCUCUGAGCACUUUUGGAAUUGUAGCCAAUUUUUAUUCCUGUUUCUGGAGGACGCAUCUCAGGACACAAUGGGAGGUCUUCUUCCAGUCCCGUGAGCUCAGCCAAGAGGCUUGGUGCUGACCACGUCCUCGGCAUCCUGUGGUACCCACACAGCACGGAGCACAACGCAGCUGCCCACGCUCCGACCCUACCUCCACGCGCAACAGCAGUGAGUUCUCCGCCCUGAGCUUUCGCAGCCUCACCAGCUUUACAGAGCGCAUGCUUCGGGCAUGCCCACUUCUGUUGGCCCGGUCCGUCUGCCUGUUGUCUCAGCUUUGCUCCAGACUGAGCCCGAAGAGAUGCUUCAGACCGACAUGUGCAUUUGGAAUGGAUGCCUUUCCCCGACUGUUAUGUGAUAAAUCUGCCAACCUGAAUUUCCUUUCUGUGAGUCACAAGAUGAGCUCGACACAGAAUUUAAACAUGGAUCAGAUGCCCCUCACGUGAUCUUGCCUGAUGGUUUUGAAGACAGACAAAAUGAGUACUCAGAAAUGGUAAAGGCACUGGAGAGACCUCCGUUUAUAUCAGUAAAAAAGAUUUCGGGUCUAGCAGCUUGGCUCCACAGGACAGUGUGAUGGAAAGGGUGAGUUUACCGUCUGUUGAGGACUCCAGAUGUUUUCCAGGUUAGGAGAAGCUGAUUUAGGCAACGACACCCUAAAGCUGUUUGCAGAAGGUCAGUCAUUUGCCGGUCUGUCAGCCGAGCCUUGGCGGAGUAUUAACUGUGGACCCUGUCCUACUUGCAUCUCAACCUCCGUGCUGUUUAUGUUUGAAAAUCCGUUGGCAGUGGGGCCUGGCUUGGAUGAGUCAGGAUUGGGCUCCUUUUGCCCCUAUACCAGGAAGUCUUUGGUGGUCUUCAGUGGAGGGGAUGCUGUAGGUCCCUGGGAGUCCGAGUCUUGGUCAGGGGCACAGCAGGGUCUUUCCGCACUCACUGCGGGCCAGGCCAGCAGGUUUGUCUCAGGUGCCCACACCUGUGCCUCUUUUCCAGACAAUUGGGGUGUUUCUCAGGCAGAGGCAGCUUGUCCAGGGUCUUCAUUUGGGGCCUUUGUCGUGCACAAAAGACACCCCGGACACCCCGUUGUUUAUGUGCCCGAGUGCACCAGCCUUUUUGUCCCAAACUCACUCUUUCUGCUCCCUCCC
Non-coding RNA from Heterocephalus glaber (naked mole-rat), 4407 nucleotides. The record is from RefSeq and is a predicted model, not a curated record. NCBI's taxonomy places the organism in Eukaryota, Metazoa, Chordata, Mammalia, Rodentia, Bathyergidae.